RNAcentral lists this transfer RNA (86 nucleotides) under Lachnospiraceae bacterium. RNAcentral describes it as "tRNA-Leu". It matches the Rfam family "tRNA". From Rfam's summary of the family: Transfer RNA (tRNA) molecules are approximately 80 nucleotides in length. The record is from RNAcentral. Lineage: Bacteria; Bacillati; Bacillota; Clostridia; Lachnospirales; Lachnospiraceae.
GCAGGAAUGGCGGAAUUGGCAGACGCGCAGGCUUCAGGUGCCUGUUCUAUUCGGUUAGAGUGAGGGUUCAAGUCCCUUUUCCUGCA